UGUGCACAAUACUGCACUUACACAACUCUUGAGCAAGUGUCAAGAGACAUCAUGAAACAAACAGGAAUUCCAUGAUUAUGGAGAAGGAAUGUUGCAUCAGGACCAUGGACGCACUAAUCCAGGAAAUUCCUCUCACAGAAGUCGUCACGGAUGCCCACCUAAAUCUCUGCCUUGCUUAGUAAGGUUACGACGGGCUGGCACCAUAAAAAAAUCAGAAUCCAAUGCUAGACUGGAUGAAGGCCAGAAUUGGCAUUGCUGCAAACAAGCUUUGACCAAGGAGCAGUUCAAGAUGAUGUGGCAUGGAGCCCUACACCAUGUCCGCAACCAACAUUCAUGAGCAACUGGAUACUGUGAACAUGAGCCUCUGGAUGACGGCAGCCAAAACAAGCCAUGGAUCCAGCAAGGUUCAGCAACUCACCAGGCACUUAUAGCAAUCGUGCUUGACAAGCGCUGGUUGAGACAGGUGAAGAAGUUCAUCAACUUCAGGACCACGUCUGAUUUGGAAAGCUUCCAAAAUCAUAUACUCUGCAAAGCACUUUGCCUACAGCCCACCUGUAUACAGGACGCAAACUUUGCUUGCUGCAUUGGAUUACAAUAACCACAAUCAUCGCCUGCCAGCCCGUAACAAGGAUGGACACAAAAACACUAAAAUAUAGAAGAUACCAAAAGCUGAAGUGUCUACACACUACAAAGGAGAAGAUGCAGUAUAGCUACAUAUAAGACCUCCAGAAUUCCAUUCUUGGGAGAAGAAUUGCAAGUGGGAGAGGCCUUGGGUUUGCUUGCUGCUGUACUGCCACCACCCACUGCAGAACGUGU
Molecule: long non-coding RNA, 816 nt
Organism: Perca flavescens (yellow perch)
Lineage: Eukaryota; Metazoa; Chordata; Actinopteri; Perciformes; Percidae
Exons: 7
Source: RefSeq, a predicted model, not a curated record